UUCCUUUCUUCUCUCCAAUCAUUUCUCUAAUUUUUUUCUUAUAUUUUUAUUUUCUUUUAUUUUCUCAUGGUUUCUGGCGACAGAAAAGGAAGUAGAUGAGUAGAAGAAAUAAAUUUCUCAGCUUCUACGAAACUAUUUUUUUUAUUGAUCUAUCUUCAGUCGUUGCUUAUAAAUUAUGUUAUCUUGAUCAAGACAAAACUCUGCUUGAAUUUUGCCAAUCAAACACCUCAUCAUCUUUAAUUGAUUCUCUUUAACUGCUACUAUAUGUUCAUUUCUCGUUCUGUCCUGAAGGUGCACACUCUUUCUUUAUUAAUCAUUUUUUAAUUAUUAUUAUUAUUCUGUUUGUGGUCAGUUGAAGUGACUGUUUGAUGAAGUAGGCGAUGAUGUUGUAAAUUUUACUAAAUUCGAGAUUUUGGAAUUGUGUUGACAUGCUAUGAAGUGGAUUUUUUGUGCUAAAUGAGUUGAUUAUCUUGAUAUAAUUAUGUUUUCGUUAUGUUUGAUGUUUUGUUGUGUGGUUUGAUCAUUCACGAAGGAGGAUGUUGACAGUUGACUUUGCAGCUGCUGUUACUAGUUCUGCUUGAUUUUCAUGAGCUGCGUAAUUUUGGUACUGUUUUUGUUUGUUUAUUGGUUUCUUGGUAUUUGUUAUUUUGUAUCCAUUUAAUUCUCUGCUUGACGAUGAGUAUUGUAUGUUUGAUCAUAUAGAAGAUAUGCGUUUGUGUGCAUACAGAGAAAGAGAAAUGUUCAAUAGGUGUAUUGCGAUUGACAUCUUUGCUUAGUACGAUUGUCUUUAUACUAUUCAAUGCGUAUUAACCUAUAUCUGGGUUCUGAAUGGCUUUCUAAUGGCCUCAAUAAAGUUUGGUUAUAGCUUAAUUUUCAGCUUUCUUUUGCUGACCAUUUUGUUGCAGAAAGAGAUUCAAUGGAACAACAUUUGAAGGAUUCAGUAUUGGGUCCUUCUGGAGGUUCAUUCAAUAUACCAUCAUUGACUAUUCCUAGAGUGGCAGCAAGUGGUGUGUGGGGAAUCCCAAGUGGAAGAGAUGCAUUUCUUGCAUCAAAUGAUGCAAGCUUGUUUUCUAGCUCUUUGCCUGUCCUUCCUCAUGAAAAAUUGAACUUUCAUGAUUCAGAGGAUCAAGGUCAACCUGUUGAUGAUAGCUCACCAAAUAUAAACAAGGUUGACCUUGAAAAUGGCGUGAAGGAUCCACUUGAAGAUGUUGAACCAAAUGCAGUUGGAACCAUGCUUCCUGAUGAUGAAGAUGAGCUUCUUGCUGGCAUAACAGAUGAUUUUGAUCUAAGUGGGUUGCCUAGCCAAUUAGAGGAUUUAGAAGAUUAUGAUCUGUUUGACAGCGGAGGGGGGAUGGAGUUGGACUUUGAACCUCAAGAGAGCCUUAGGUUUGAGAUAUCAAAGCUUAACAUAUCUGAUGGGAUCACUGGAAAUGGAAUUGCUCACUAUCCUUUCUCUAAUGGCGUGGGAACUGUGGCUGGGGAACAUCCAUAUGGCGAGCAUCCUUCAAGAACAUUAUUUGUUCGAAAUAUCAAUAGCAAUGUUGAGGACACUGAAUUGAGGUCUCUCUUUGAGCAAUAUGGGGAUAUCAGGACUUUAUACACUGCAUGCAAACAUCGGGGGUUUGUGAUGAUAUCUUACUAUGAUAUUCGAGCUGCUCGGACUGCAAUGCGUGCAUUACAAAAUAAGCCUUUAAGACGAAGAAAACUGGAUAUUCAUUUUUCAAUUCCUAAGGAUAAUCCCUCAGAAAAGGAUAUAAAUCAGGGGACUCUUGUGGUGUUCAAUUUGGAUGCUUCUGUAUCUAACGAUGACGUUCGUCAAAUUUUUGGGGCAUAUGGGGAGGUCAAAGAGAUUAGAGAAACACCACACAAGCGACACCAUAAAUUCAUUGAGUUUUAUGAUGUUAGAGCUGCCGAAACUGCCCUCAGAGCAUUGAAUAGGAGUGACAUAGCUGGAAAACGCAUAAAGCUUGAACCUAGCCGCCCUGGUGGAGCACGUCGAAAUUUGAUGCAGCAACUAAGUCAGGAGCUGGAACAAGAUGAGGUCCGAGGUUUUUGGCAUCAAGUAGGCUCACCGGUGACUAACUCUCCCCCAGGUAACUGGGUGCAAUUUAGUAGCCCUGUUGAACAUAAUCCUUUGCAUAGUAAGUCUUCUGGUUUGGGAACAAUGAAUCCUAUUAAUGGUAACCAUUUGCCUGGGUUGGCAUCUAUUCUCCCACCUCAUUUGUCUAAAUCUGGAAAGAUUGCUCCAAUUGGCAAGGACCAAGGAAGAGCCAAUCACACAAACCAGAUAUAUAGUAACACUGCGCCAGUGCAAGGAGCACCCUUUCAGUAUUCUCAAUCGUUUCCUGAACAGAAGUUGAGUGUGAGUCCUGGGCCUAUAUCUGCUUUUGGUGAAUCAAAUUCAAAUUCUUCUGGUGUUGGAACUUUGUCUGGUCCUCAGUUUUUAUGGGGAAGUCCCACGACUUACUCUGAGCACUCCAGUUCUUCUGCUUGGCCGACAUCACCAAUGGGGCACUCAUUUUCAUCUAGUGGACAGGGACAGGGCUUUCUGUACAGUCGGCAUGGAUCAUUUAUUGGCUCACGUCAUCACCAUCAUGUUGGAUCUGCUCCUUCUGGUGUGACCCUUGAUAGACAUUUUGGAUUUUUCCCAGACUCACCUGAUACAUCCUUUGUGAACCCAAUUAGAUUUGGGGGUAUGGGUGCAAAUCACAAUAAUGGAAGUUAUGUGAUGAACAUUGGGAGUCCUGUUGGUGGCCUUCCUGGAAAUGUGGCUGAAAAUGGUUCACCUAGUCUUCGAAUGAUGUCACUGCCAAGACAUGGUCCUAUGUUCCUUGGAAAUGGUUCUUUUGCAGGACCUGCAACUGCAACUAAUGAGGGAUUGAUGGAACGUGGUCGGAGUAGGCGAGUUGACGGUAGUGCAAGCCAGAUUGAUAGCAAGAAGCAGUAUCAGCUUGAUUUGGACAAAAUUGUUAGUGGGGAAGAUACUAGAACCACUUUAAUGAUUAAAAACAUCCCUAAUAAGUAUACUUCAAAGAUGUUGCUGGCUGCCAUUGAUGAAAAUCACUGUGGUACUUAUGAUUUUCUCUAUUUGCCAAUUGAUUUUAAGAAUAAGUGCAAUGUGGGUUAUGCCUUCAUCAAUAUGGUUUCUCCUUCACACAUCAUAUCCUUCUAUGAGGCAUUUAAUGGGAAGAAAUGGGAGAAGUUCAACAGUGAGAAAGUUGCAUCACUGGCAUAUGCCCGAAUCCAAGGCAAGGCUGCUCUUGUGACACACUUCCAAAAUUCAAGCCUAAUGAAUGAAGACAAACGAUGCAGGCCAAUUCUCUUCCACUCAGAGGGCCAAGAGACGGUUGAUCAGGAACCCUUCCUUUCUGGCAAUUUGAAUAUCUUUAUUAGACAACCAGAUGGGUCUUAUUCUGGUGAUUCCUUGGAAAGCUUAAAGGGUAAUCUUGAUGACAAGCCAGAUAAGAUUUAACAGAUCAUUGAAAUUCUUACUCUGGGCCAAAAGGAAGUGGCUUGGAGUGCUGACUGUUUCAUAGGUUCAGCGCUCCAAUCACGGGCUCUCUAUAUAUUCACUAAAAGGCAGAAAUCAUUUUGUUCAUAUUUAGAUCAACAAAUUGUUCUUGUACCAGCAGAGUUGGAAGCAUAUUGCUGGGAAUCGAAGUAAUUGCUGACUGAUUUGUGGCUGAUUACUCUUCUGAGGUAUGAUCUGUUUAGGUUUUAUUUUUCUAUUGGAUCAAUUUCUGUCCAUCUGCAAAUAUGAUCACAUGUUUACACUAGUAAAUAUCUAUUCGGAGAGGUGUAGGAUUACGUGGUGCUUACAAAAUUGUAUAGGCUAAAAAGACACCGCACUGUGUUGAUUAUGUAGCUAAGAAAACGUGUAUUUGACGAGAUAGAAGGUUUGUACAGAUAUUCCAUCACUUAUGAUUAGAACAUCUAUUGCUAUGCAAAAGUGCACCAAUUAUUUGGGUUAGUAAUAA
RNA transcript from Mangifera indica (mango), 3977 nucleotides. It is a transcript of the gene named protein MEI2-like 2, with no coding region annotated. NCBI's taxonomy places the organism in Eukaryota, Viridiplantae, Streptophyta, Magnoliopsida, Sapindales, Anacardiaceae. The transcript is spliced from 13 exons. The record is from RefSeq and is a predicted model, not a curated record.